UGAGGAAUUUUGCGCAAUGGGGGAAACCCUGACGCAGCAACGCCGCGUGAGUGAUGAAGGCUUUCGGGUCGUAAAGCUCUGUCAAGUGGGAAGAAACCAUAUGGUGUUAAUACCGCCAUGUGCUGACGGUACCACUGAAGGAAGCACCGGCUAACUCCGUGCCAGCAGCCGCGGUAAUACGGGGGGUGCGAGCGUUAUUCGGAAUUACUGGGCGUAAAGAGCGCGUAGGCGGUCUUUUAAGUCAGGUGUGAAAGCCCGGGGCUCAACCCCGGAAGUGCACUUGAAACUAAGAGACUUGAGUAUGGGAGAGGGAAGUGGAAUUCCUGGUGUAGCGGUGAAAUGCGUAGAUAUCAGGAGGAACAUCGGUGGCGAAGGCGACUUCCUGGACCAAUACUGACGCUGAGGCGCGAAGGCGUGGGGAGCAAACA
Molecule: ribosomal RNA, 428 nt
Filed under: uncultured bacterium
Lineage: Bacteria
Description: bacterial SSU rRNA
Rfam family: Bacterial small subunit ribosomal RNA
Source: RNAcentral